GCGGCGCCGAGCGAACUUAUCUCACUGGAAUUUGGAUACAGAAGUACCCAUUCCUGAAAAUAAAAACCUCCCACCUGGAAGGGAUGGUGCCACAGGUGAACCAUGGAAAUUCCAGUAGAGCAACUCAUGCUGCUUUAUAGAACCAUGGAAAUUCCAGUAGAGCAACUCAUGCUGGAACUUACUUUGUCAGAGCAUGCUCCCAAAAGAACACAGAAUAGUAAACAAGGGGUAUUCCAGUUAUGGAGUUAUCCUCUCAACAAAGGAAGUGCCACGGAGAACAGGUGAGAGAAUAUUUAUGUUUGUAAAUCCCUAAAU
Non-coding RNA from Delphinapterus leucas (beluga whale), 315 nucleotides. NCBI's taxonomy places the organism in Eukaryota, Metazoa, Chordata, Mammalia, Artiodactyla, Monodontidae. The record is from RefSeq and is a predicted model, not a curated record.